CCCCCUCAAUGUUCCAAAAGCUCAAGUGCUGAUGGGGGUCAGGGAGCAGCUGCCAAGGCCGGAAAGGAUGCGCACACACUCUGGGAAGCACAAUCCUAACAAAUUCUGCCUCUAUCAUCGUGACCACGGCCAUGACAUGGAGGAGUGUAUUUAGCUCCGAGACAAGAUCGAGGAGCUCAUCAGACGAGGUCGGCUUGACAAGUUCAUUCGACGUAGGCCUGAAGAUAGGAAAGAUCGGCCGAGGGCCCUGCCAC
This 254-nucleotide long non-coding RNA is filed under the name Elaeis guineensis (African oil palm). Its description in RNAcentral is "long non-coding RNA (EGUI_LNC050017)". Lineage: Eukaryota; Viridiplantae; Streptophyta; Magnoliopsida; Arecales; Arecaceae. The record is from RNAcentral.